Long non-coding RNA from Panicum virgatum (switchgrass), 679 nucleotides. RefSeq lists it as uncharacterized. The record is from RefSeq and is a predicted model, not a curated record. The transcript is spliced from 5 exons. NCBI's taxonomy places the organism in Eukaryota, Viridiplantae, Streptophyta, Magnoliopsida, Poales, Poaceae.
GCCCUUCCCCUCCCUGGCGUUCUCCCCAGUCCCCUCCCCUUCCCCGCAGCUGCUCCCCAGUCCCCUCCCCUACGCAUGGAAGGGACUAUCAGACCAUCAAGCCGACUCAGAACAGCUUGAACAGCUUGGCUUUGCUUGUAGUUAAGUACAGUACGGGCAGAAACACAUUUGAUCUUAAAUCGCUGAUGGAAACCAUUUCUACUCCAAAUCAAUUGGACACUACGCAUUGGUGAUGGAAGCCUCUAGCAAACAUCAUUGCCCAGCACCAGUUGCUUCGCUGUUCUGUGGUGGCUUGAAGGAUGUUUGCCGGUUAUCUCUGCCCGAGGGCCCUGCACUAACAUUGCUAAUCAUGCCGCGAUGUCAACUCCACCUAACACAAGAUGUUGCUCGUCUAGGGCUGCAUCGGCCAAUGCCUGAGAAGCACCUCUAGGAUAUGAUUGCAUCAGCCACAAGUGUUGACACAAAAUCGCCUAAUUGAGGACACUGACCAUGAGGGGCUCACGGCUGAGGUAUUUGGUUGGAGCAGACAAUAUCGUCUUGGAAUAAAUGGCCUGUCUAGCAUUGUACCCAAAUCAUAAAAUCUAGAAACUAUUUUUUUCUUCUGAAACAAUUUUUUAUUCCCAAACAAUUUUUUUAUUGCUGGAACAAUUAAAAAAUUAUUUCGAAACAAUUUUUUUUG